Molecule: ribosomal RNA, 750 nt
Filed under: uncultured bacterium
Lineage: Bacteria
Description: bacterial SSU rRNA
Rfam family: Bacterial small subunit ribosomal RNA
Source: RNAcentral
AUUGAACGCUGGCGGCAGGCUUAACACAUGCAAGUCGAACGAUGAAGACAUAGCUUGCUAUGUUGGAUUAGUGGCGGACGGGUGAGUAACACUUAGGAAUCUACCUUUUAGCGGGGGAUAGCUCGGGGAAACUCGAAUUAAUACCGCAUAAUUUCUACGGAAUAAAGAGGGCUUUUAGCUCUCACUAGAAGAUGAGCCUAAGUAAGAUUAGCUAGUUGGUGGGGUAAAAGCCUACCAAGGCGACGAUCUUUAGCUGGUCUGAGAGGAUGAUCAGCCACACUGGGACUGAGACACGGCCCAGACUCCUACGGGAGGCAGCAGUGGGGAAUAUUGGACAAUGGGGGCAACCCUGAUCCAGCCAUGCCGCGUGUGUGAAGAAGGCCUUUUGGUUGUAAAGCACUUUAAGCAGUGAAGAAGAUCUAUUGGCUAAUACCCAAUAGCGAUGACAUUAACUGCAGAAUAAGCACCGGCUAACUCUGUGCCAGCAGCCGCGGUAAUACAGAGGGUGCAAGCGUUAAUCGGAAUUACUGGGCGUAAAGCGGGCGUAGGUGGUUAAAUAAGUCAGAUGUGAAAGCCCCGGGCUCAACCUAGGAACGGCAUCUGAAACUAUUUAACUAGAGUAGGUGAGAGGGAAGUAGAAUUUCAGGUGUAGCGGUGAAAUGCGUAGAGAUCUGAAGGAAUACCGAUGGCGAAGGCAGCUUCCUGGCAUCAUACUGACACUGAGGCUCGAAAGCGUGGGUAGCAAACAGG